GAUGAACGCUGGCGGCGUGCCUAAUACAUGCAAGUAGAACGCUGAAGGAGGAGCUUGCUCUUCUGGAUGAGUUGCGAACGGGUGAGUAACGCGUAGGUAACCUGCCUGGUAGCGGGGGAUAACUAUUGGAAACGAUAGCUAAUACCGCAUGACAACAGUUAUUGCAUGAUAACUGUUUAAAAGGGGCAACUGCUCCACUACCAGAUGGACCUGCGUUGUAUUAGCUAGUUGGUGAGGUAACGGCUCACCAAGGCGACGAUACAUAGCCGACCUGAGAGGGUGAUCGGCCACACUGGGACUGAGACACGGCCCAGACUCCUACGGGAGGCAGCAGUAGGGAAUCUUCGGCAAUGGACGGAAGUCUGACCGAGCAACGCCGCGUGAGUGAAGAAGGUUUUCGGAUCGUAAAGCUCUGUUGUAAGAGAAGAACGAGUGUGAGAGUGGAAAGUUCACAAUGUGACGGUAUCUUACCAGAAAGGGACGGCUAACUACGUG
This 495-nucleotide ribosomal RNA is filed under the name uncultured bacterium. Its description in RNAcentral is "partial 16S ribosomal RNA". It matches the Rfam family "Bacterial small subunit ribosomal RNA", at positions 28 to 507 of the family's 1533-position model. The record is from RNAcentral.